Molecule: ribosomal RNA, 524 nt
Filed under: Pseudoalteromonas translucida
Lineage: Bacteria; Pseudomonadati; Pseudomonadota; Gammaproteobacteria; Alteromonadales; Pseudoalteromonadaceae
Description: bacterial SSU rRNA
Rfam family: Bacterial small subunit ribosomal RNA
Source: RNAcentral
CGACUGCUAAUACCGCAUAAUGUCUACGGACCAAAGGGGGCUUCGGCUCUCGCCUUUAGAUUGGCCCAAGUGGGAUUAGCUAGUUGGUGAGGUAAUGGCUCACCAAGGCGACGAUCCCUAGCUGGUUUGAGAGGAUGAUCAGCCACACUGGGACUGAGACACGGCCCAGACUCCUACGGGAGGCAGCAGUGGGGAAUAUUGCACAAUGGGCGCAAGCCUGAUGCAGCCAUGCCGCGUGUGUGAAGAAGGCCUUCGGGUUGUAAAGCACUUUCAGUCAGGAGGAAAGCGUGGUGGUUAAUACCCAUCAUGUGUGACGUUACUGACAGAAGAAGCACCGGCUAACUCCGUGCCAGCAGCCGCGGUAAUACGGAGGGUGCGAGCGUUAAUCGGAAUUACUGGGCGUAAAGCGUACGCAGGCGGUUUGUUAAGCGAGAUGUGAAAGCCCCGGGCUCAACCUGGGAACUGCAUUUCGAACUGGCAAACUAGAGUGUGAUAGAGGGUGGUAGAAUUUCAGGUGUAGCGGG